Manis pentadactyla (Chinese pangolin) is the source of this 1699-nucleotide long non-coding RNA. RefSeq lists it as uncharacterized. The transcript is spliced from 3 exons. The record is from RefSeq and is a predicted model, not a curated record. Lineage: Eukaryota; Metazoa; Chordata; Mammalia; Pholidota; Manidae.
GUGUGUGGGGUGGAUUCUUUCUAUCAUCUGCCAACGUAUUAUCCUUAUUGGAAUCUUCCUCUCAUUUUUCUUUCUUGGAGUGUGGCCCCCAACCUUCCCCCUGUCGCUCCUGCGAUGUCAGUUCAUUAGCCCAGUCUUGGAUUGAACAAAGAAGUGACAUGGAUGCCUCCAAGCUUUUCUAUACACACUGCCUCUGGGAGUCGUCCCAGCAUCCAAGGCCCAGUGGCCACAGAGGAAUCUUCCCAGAUACCUCCUAAUUACACCUGAACCCCUGCAAGGAAAAGCCAAGCUAUUGUACACAGGCUGCACGCCUUACAUUUCCACAAGCAAAGUUUAGGGGCUCCAAUUCCUCUACAUCCUUGGCAACAUGAUUUUCAGUUUUCCUGAGUGUGGCCAUUCCAUAUGUGUAGGGGUGUCACUGUGGUUUAAUUUGCAUUUCCAUAGCGUCUAAUGCUGUGUGAUGCCUGUUCACGAGCUUGUUGAAUGUUUGUAUAUCUUACCUCAAGUCUUUUGUCUACUUUAAAAAUGGGGAUGUUGUCUUGUUUCCCUGUACGAGUUUGUGGUGUUUUCUGGAUAACAGGCUCUUGUCAGAUGUACUAUACAUAGAUUUUUCUUCUAUUCUGAUUUUUUUUUCAUGUUGUACUUGGUGACUUUUCAUGUAGAAAAGUUUUUAAUUUGGGGUAACUCUAAUGUAUGCUUUCUUAUGUUGCUUGCCUUUGGUGUCAGAUCUGAGAAGUCAUGGCUAAAUGCAAGAUCAUGAACGUUUAUCUUCAUGUGUUAUUCUAGAGUCUUUAAUUUUACCUGUUACAUUUAAGCCCUUUAUAUAUUUUGAGUUACUACUUGUAUGUGAUGUGUGUUAAGGAUUUAGUUUCAUUUCUAUGCAUGUGAAGAGCCAGUUUCCCCACACUGUUCACUGAAGAGACACAUUCUUUCCCUGAUUUAAUGUUGUUCACCAUUGUCAGAAAUCAGUUGACAGUUUGUGGUCAUUUUUGGGCUUUCCAUUCAGCUCCAUUCAUCUGUAUAUACAUUGGACCCUUGAACAACAUGGGAAUUAGUGUUAAUGACACCCCACAGAGUCAGAAUCUACAUAGAUCAUCUGAAUAUCACACAACUAAAGUAUUAUCCUAAAACUGAUUUCCUAUUUUGACUGGAAGUCUUACCAAUAAUAUGAAUAGUUGAUUAACAUAUAUUUUAUAUAUUAUACAUAUUAUGUGCUGUAUUCUUACAGUAAAGUAAGGUGGAGAAAAUCAAAUGUUUCAAACUCGUGUCUCAACACUUUUCAAUAUAUUUAUGGGAAAAAAUGUUUAAGUGGACCUGCACAUUCACAUCCCCUGCUGUCCAAGGGUCAACUGUGAGUCUAUGCCAGUGUCACAGUGCUUUAUUUACUGUUACUCUGUACUAAGAUUCUAUUUUGGGAAGCCUGAGCCUCCAGAUAUUCUUUUCCAAGAUUGUUUCAAAGGGCUCAUUGGGGUCCCUUGCAAUUCCAAAUGUGUGAGGAUCAGCUGGCGAAUUCCUUCCGAAAAGGAUUUGGCAAUUUUCAUAGGAAACAGAUAAUUUCCACUUGUGCCAUUGCCAUCAUAGCGAUAUAAAGUCUUCCAUUAUUAUGGGAGGACCUUAUAUUUACUUAGGUUUUAUAUAGAUUUUAAAUUAUCAUUAUUUUAUAAUUUUCAAUAUACAAGAUUUGCAGCUUGAGUAAGUC